This 73-nucleotide transfer RNA is filed under the name Photobacterium frigidiphilum. RNAcentral's name for it is "tRNA-OTHER". Lineage: Bacteria; Pseudomonadati; Pseudomonadota; Gammaproteobacteria; Vibrionales; Vibrionaceae. The record is from RNAcentral.
GUUCGAGUGGUGAAAUUGGUAUACACGACGGUUGCUUUCGAUCGUGGCGGCUCAAGUCCGUCCUCGGGCACCA